RNAcentral lists this long non-coding RNA (651 nucleotides) under Daucus carota (carrot). Its description in RNAcentral is "long non-coding RNA (DCAR_LNC006176)". Lineage: Eukaryota; Viridiplantae; Streptophyta; Magnoliopsida; Apiales; Apiaceae. The record is from RNAcentral.
AACUUCAAAAAUAGCAAAAACGUGGCCGGAGUUUCACUCCGCGUUUUGAAACUGUGGCCCCCGUUAAGUCUACCCUAACGGAGUUAACGGAGGGAGGGUAUUUCAGGGUUUUUUUUAAUUUGUAACGGUAAAAUCUGUGUGUAUAUAUAAUCUGUGUGUAUAUACAACGGCUGUAUUUCAUUCUAACCCUAGAUAAUCUCCUCCUCUUUCUUUUGCAAGCCCUAAUCCCCAAUAAGCUCCUUCUCUUUCUUGUGUAAGCCAUGAGUUUUUGCUAUUGUGGGAAAUUGGCAGCUGAUAGAGUCGCGUGGACUGACGCCAAUGCUGGGCGGAGAUUCAAGAACUGUGUGGAUGGUAGCAGUGGUUGCAGGUAUUUCCAAUGGGUUGACGGACCCCUUUGUAGUCGAGCACAAAUAGUAAUUCCAGGCCUUUUGAGGAAUAUGAGAGGAAUGGAAUCCAAGUAUGAGCAGCAAAUUGUUGAAGUGCAGAAGAGAGAAGCUCGAAAAUGGAGGUUUCGUGUAGUUGUAGUGUGUUUAUUUUGGUUUGUUGUGUAUGUUUUAAGUGGUAGUGACAAGCAGUAAAUGGUGAUAGGUGUGGCUGUGUAGUUGGGAAGUAAUGAAUUAUGUAAUGUUGUUAGAAUGUUGUUAGAAUGUA